CUUGGUAUAAAUUCCGGGGUAGAAGUUCGCGGGAGUAUGCGUCUCAUCUACCCUCCGUAUCAAAUUAUGGGCACGGCCCAAUUAUAGUUAAUGGGUAAGGAAAAAGAGACCCGACCCAAAUUAAGGCCCACGAUCUCCAUGUUUACUGCACAUUCGUGAUGGGAAAUGGAUAAUGCUGGAUAUUUUUUCCUUGGAUUUAACUUUGUUAAUAUGUAAUUAUAAAAGAAAACGUUGCCUUUUAUGUCUCUAUUAGUCAAACACAGGGCAAUUAGUGUCCGUGUUAGGUGAUAAUUAUAUGAGUAAUUUUCUUCAAAUUAAUACCUACUACGAACCUUCCCCUCCACCACCACCACUUUUGCAAAUUUCAACGAUCCGGAGGGAAAAUCUCGCAAAUAUUCUAUCAAAUACGUUGUCGUUUUGCUUUUCCUUUUUCAUGUACAAAAACUCUCUUCCAUUUUCACAGGUAAUUGAAAUCAAUGUAGAAACUGGCAUAUAAGAAGGGAAGUAAAAGAAGAGAAUUAACGCACUGGCUAUCAGUAAUUGAAUUGAAUAUGAUCCUAAAACACUUUAACUGACACGAGAAUUUUGAAAUUUAACCAAAAAAAAGCAAGAUGAUUGAUAUAUACACGGUGUUAUCGUUGAGAAAUCGAUUUUUGAUCGACGGAAAGAGACGAACGCUUAAUGAACUCGAGGCAAUCGGCAAUAGCCUCCGAGUAAAAAGAAUUGGAGCGCCUAAUCACGCACCUGCAAUCACCUGACUCACUCGAUGUCUCCAUCAAACACCUUCUUCUGCUGCUGCUGCUGUGUCGACGUCUUUGAUUUCUCUUGAUGCCUUUCUUUAGAGAUCGUAAAGCUCGGCCAUAUGAAAAUCUCCAUCUUGUUAACACUCUUCUGAACAAGUACGCGAACCUCUCCCGCAGUCCGUGAACUGAUAAUCUCCUGCUCGCCGGCUUCAGCCGCACACCUCCCGGUAUUCUAUUCAUCGCAACUGUAAGUACGAUCCUGCUAGUUAAGCUUCCUCUUCAGCCAGUUUCAAAAAAGUUGAAGCAAUCUUUGUCGCUUGCCCUAGCUCCUUUCUAUAUAUAGGAAUUUGAGAGAGGAGAUAGCUUUUUGACGGAAGGUGGUGUUGGUGUGGAAGAGACUCGGAAAACGGUGGCUUUUUUUAUUUCACCUACUUACCUAGC
RNAcentral lists this long non-coding RNA (1184 nucleotides) under Carica papaya (papaya). RNAcentral's name for it is "long non-coding RNA (CPAP_LNC012294)". Lineage: Eukaryota; Viridiplantae; Streptophyta; Magnoliopsida; Brassicales; Caricaceae. The record is from RNAcentral.